CCUACGGGAUGCAGCAGUAGGGAAUAUUGGGCAAUGGGCGCAAGCCUGACCCAGCCAUGCCGCGUGCAGGAUGACAGCCCUACGGGUUGUAAACUGCUUUUAUACGGGAAAAAACCCCCGGACGUGUCCGGGGCUGAUGGUACCGUAGGAAUAAGCAUCGGCUAACUCCGUGCCAGCAGCCGCGGUAAUACGGAGGAUGCAAGCGUUAUCCGGAUUUACUGGGUUUAAAGGGUGCGCAGGCGGGACAAUAAGUCAGUGGUGAAAUCUUUCGGCUCAACCGAAAAACUGCCAUUGAUACUAUUGUUCUUGAGUACAGUUGAAGUGGGCGGAAUGUAGCAUGUAGCGGUGAAAUGCAUAGAGAUGCUACAGAACACCGAUAGCGAAGGCAGCUCACUAAAGUGUAACUGACGCUCAGGCACGAAAGCGUGGGGAUCAAACAGGAUUAGAUACCCCAGUAGUCC
Molecule: ribosomal RNA, 461 nt
Filed under: uncultured Bacteroidota bacterium
Lineage: Bacteria; Pseudomonadati; Bacteroidota
Description: bacterial SSU rRNA
Rfam family: Bacterial small subunit ribosomal RNA
Source: RNAcentral